RNAcentral lists this ribosomal RNA (253 nucleotides) under uncultured bacterium. Its description in RNAcentral is "partial 16S ribosomal RNA". It matches the Rfam family "Bacterial small subunit ribosomal RNA", at positions 524 to 776 of the family's 1533-position model. The record is from RNAcentral.
UACGGAGGGUGCAAGCGUUAAUCGGAAUUACUGGGCGUAAAGCGUGCGUAGGUGGUUGAAUAAGUUAUCUGUGAAAUCCCCGGGCUCAACCUGGGCAGGUCAGAUGAUACUGUUUAACUCGAGUAUGGGAGAGGGUAGUGGAAUUUCCGGUGUAGCGGUGAAAUGCGUAGAGAUCGGAAGGAACACCAGUGGCGAAGGCGGCUACCUGGCCUAAUACUGACACUGAGGCACGAAAGCGUGGGGAGCAAACAGG